This 484-nucleotide ribosomal RNA is filed under the name uncultured bacterium. RNAcentral describes it as "partial 16S ribosomal RNA". It matches the Rfam family "Bacterial small subunit ribosomal RNA", at positions 30 to 507 of the family's 1533-position model. The record is from RNAcentral.
AUUGAACGCUGGCGGCAGGCCUAACACAUGCAAGUCGAGCGGAUGAAGGGAGCUUGCUCCUGGAUUCAGCGGCGGACGGGUGAGUAAUGCCUAGGAAUCUGCCUGGUAGUGGGGGAUAACGUCCGGAAACGGGCGCUAAUACCGCAUACGUCCUGAGGGAGAAAGUGGGGGAUCUUCGGACCUCACGCUAUCAGAUGAGCCUAGGUCGGAUUAGCUAGUUGGUGGGGUAAAGGCCUACCAAGGCGACGAUCCGUAACUGGUCUGAGAGGAUGAUCAGUCACACUGGAACUGAGACACGGCCCAGACUCCUACGGGAGGCAGCAGUGGGGAAUAUUGGACAAUGGGCGAAAGCCUGAUCCAGCCAUGCCGCGUGUGUGAAGAAGGUCUUCGGAUUGUAAAGCACUUUAAGUUGGGAGGAAGGGCAGUAAGUUAAUACCUUGCUGUUUUGACGUUACCAACAAAAUAAGCACCGGCUAACUUCGUG